GACGAACGCUGGCGGCGUGCUUAACACAUGCAAGUCGAACGGAAAGGCCCUGCUUUUGUGGGGUGCUCGAGUGGCGAACGGGUGAGUAACACGUGAGUAACCUGCCCUUGACUUUGGGAUAACUUCAGGAAACUGGGGCUAAUACCGGAUAGGAGCUCCUGCUGCAUGGUGGGGGUUGGAAAGUUUCGGCGGUUGGGGAUGGACUCGCGGCUUAUCAGCUUGUUGGUGGGGUAGUGGCUUACCAAGGCUUUGACGGGUAGCCGGCCUGAGAGGGUGACCGGCCUCCUUGGGGCUGAGGGCCGGCCAAGCACCCUACGGGAGACAGUGGUGGGUAUUAUGGCACACAGGGGGAGGGCCAGUGCGGACAGCGCCGUGAGGGGAAGAAGGGCCUUGGGUUUGACACCCCUUUUCCCCUGUGCCAAGCUGGUGGUGAGGGUAAUGGUUAAGAAAGCCCCGGCAAGCUCCGCC
RNAcentral lists this ribosomal RNA (468 nucleotides) under uncultured bacterium. RNAcentral's name for it is "partial 16S ribosomal RNA". It matches the Rfam family "Bacterial small subunit ribosomal RNA", at positions 28 to 507 of the family's 1533-position model. The record is from RNAcentral.